CCUACUAAUGUGUUCGGAUGAUAUUCUUUAUCGCUGUUAAGUGUAGCGUAACAUCCGAGUGGUCGAUUUGACCUUUAACGAGACCAGUCUCGAGACCGUGCGAGAUCUGCACCAGUUCCUGUAAGAUUUAGACAGGAAGUAGAUGUGUGUUUUGGGAUUUAUGCAUUUAAUGAUAUGGAGAUAACGAACAAUUUUCAAUCUCAAAGUCCAUAAAACAAUACAAAAUAGGAGCAAAGCAAACACAGACCUCCGAAACAUUAGAGGUGGGAUCAGGUGCCAUGGAGGUGUGAGCAUUCCCUGCUGACCGGUCACACCCACUGUCUCUUAUAUCAAUAUUCUGAGUCCGCCAGUCGCCCAUGAAAUACAGGGGUUGUACAGAGAUUUGGACAAUCUAUCAUCUACAGGAUGAAGUCAGGAUCACAAACAAAUAAGAAAAUCUGUUCAAGAACUUCAAGAAACUGUCCACUGAGACAUAAAAACAUGUACAGAGGCUAUUUCAAAAUACACACAAAGCAGGAUUUGUCAAAGUUGUGUUUUUGACAAAGAAGGUUUAAAACCUUUGUGGACAUGGAUUUUGAAACUUCUUAAAACUCUGGAAGGAUGAGGAAAAGGAAAGUGGCAUUGAAAUGGAACAUGUUGGACAGGGUUAUCACGG
Molecule: long non-coding RNA, 655 nt
Organism: Saccostrea cuccullata (small rock oyster)
Lineage: Eukaryota; Metazoa; Mollusca; Bivalvia; Ostreida; Ostreidae
Exons: 4
Source: RefSeq, a predicted model, not a curated record